UCUCUCUCUCUCUCUCUCUCUCAAAGACCAGAACUCAUCUCUCGAUGAAAACAGAAAACCCACAGAUUCACCAAUUGUUUAUUAGUCAUCUCCAACCCAAACAUGAAACCCCCAGAUUAAAACUCCCAACUUUUCAUAGUCUCCAAAAACCGAUCUUUCACUGAUACGAUAUCAAAUUCUUCAAUCUCCUCUCUCAUUCUCGAGUUUCUUUUGGCACCCAGUGGCUGUGGAGUUUGUUAUCUGCACUCAAGGAAGCUGAGGAGAAAUGCAAAGUCUUCAGCAGAAGCUCGAGUCUCUCAUUGAGGUAGGUUUUAGUGGAUAUUGAAAUAAUGAAUUGUAGGGGCUGGACGAAUUGUUCAUCGGUAAAGUUAGCUUAGAAUUCGAAAGUUCAAUUCUUUAUUUGCUGGGCAGUUUGAGUUAUUUUAUAAAAACAGUUUAUACAUUAAAUUCACAAUCAUUCAUAAGUUUGUUCCUUAUUUCUAAUUCUGAUUCUAUUUGGGUUUGCUUGAUUUCUUUCAAAUAAGCUUUGAAGGGUUGGAGCUGAGAAAUUGGGGCCUAGAAAAGAGAUGGUUCCCAGCAAGUAUUAGAUUGUUUAAGAACCGAGAAAAAGCACAAACCGAACCGAUUAGAAAUGGUU
Molecule: long non-coding RNA, 637 nt
Filed under: Rosa chinensis
Lineage: Eukaryota; Viridiplantae; Streptophyta; Magnoliopsida; Rosales; Rosaceae
Description: sRNA RchiOBHm_Chr7g0242341
Source: RNAcentral